UUAAAUAGGAAAUUUCUAACCUUGUGUCAAAUUCAUUUCUAGGUUCACGAAAAGACUUGUAUGCAGGAUCUAAUUUUGGAUUAAUUUGAUCUACAGUUCACAAUUGUUUUUAUGGUGAUGCUCAGAAAAUGGCUUCUCCUUCCAGACUCUGAUACAAGCAUUGAGUGAUUUUUCCUAUAAUGAAUUCAAAUACCAUGGGGUAAGAAUGACAUCCAGACUCUUUAAAAGUUGUUGAAGAGAAGCACUACCUGCCGUGGAAAUGAAAUAGAAACGUCCCAUGAUUUCUGUAAUGGAAACUGAUAAAGAAAUGGCAAAUUCAUAAAUGCCUCCACAUAGCCUAACUUCAGUGCUGCCACCAAUGUUCUGAGAUAUGCUUCCUUCCUAUGGCCAUUACAGUACAGAGUGUGCAAAUUUCUCAUCUUCUUCUAAGGUCUCAGAAUCAAGAAAAAAUAACCUUUUAAAUUGCGAUGAUGGGCCAUGAAAUAAAGUGAAUUAACCUGGUGCAAUGGAGGAAUGAUUGACUACCUUGGCAUGAACAGCUGAAGGACAGACAAGGAAAUAAAGGAAAAAAUAAAAUUUGUAGUUUAGAGACAAGUAGUCCAACAGACUGGGAAAAGGGCCAAGGAAAUUUAAAAGGGAAAAACAGAAAACAAGACAAAUAAACGAAAAGGCCAAAAACCACUUAGGAAUUCAUGAUGCCAAAGCAAGUAGCAGUGCUGGUGGCACAGCUGGCACAUAGCAGAGAACAAGACACCAGAAGUGGUAACGUCCUCAGCAGCCAGCGCUCGUCUGUGUGGCAGCAGGCAGCAGGCACCCUGCCUCCAAACGUGUUAGCAGGCUCUGUUCCUCUUGUACUCAUCCUGCUGAAGCAAAAUGGACGGUCUUCAUCCCUGCUCGCAGCCACGUCCCACCCACCCAGGACCCGGGGCAGCACGGCGUUCGAGGCUUGGGGAGCAGCACCCGCCUGCCGCGCACGCUCACUGCUCCUCGGGCUCAGUUCAACACUGGAAUGUGUCACUUGAUAGACCUUGCAAGUUCAGAAACUCCUUAAUUUUGACAUGGUGUUAAGUUUAUUACAAUCUGGUGAAAUAAGUCACUACCAAAUCCAUAGCUCUGCCCUCCUCCUUUCCCAUAUGUUUUCAUGAGCAAAGUGAAAAGUUUAACCUUUCACAUAACAGUCCUUUUAAAAAAUGUGCAGUGCUAGAGCAAUACAAUAUGUCCAUGGUAUGAAAGGACACAGUUCUAGGGUAACUGUUGCCUUUAGCUAGCAGUAACAAAUCACAAGCCCUUUAAACGAAAGCCCAAUCUAUUAAAAGUACUGUUGUGCUAGGGGGCCAGCAGACCAAGGUAAUAUAAAAAAUCUAGGGUUUGCUACUGCAGAAGUACUGAGACCUCUUGAAAUCUGAGUAUCCCUGAACCCUUUGAUUUAAAAAGGAGCCUGAGAAGUUUAACCCUUCAUAGAACCUGUGCAGAAAUUUUCUAUCUUGGAUCUGGGAUAAGGCAUAUACCCAAUGGCCUCAAAGAGUUUCUAGCUGGGUUAAAGUCUCCAGACCGGGACUUUUAAUUUUGAAUUUUAAGAAUCACAUUGUAUAAAUAAUUUUGUUUGCAGGUUUGUUCUUUCCAAGGCUUUUAGUAGUAGUCAUCUGAACAAUCACUAUCUAUAAGAAGAUACUGCCAAAUAAUAUUUAUUCCUUUCUACAGCUGGGUGGGGAUAUAUUUUAUCCUGACAUAGGCAUGUGUUUAGGCUCCAUUAUCUCCUGCCCUUGUGGCUAAAACUAUAGUCCAAAAGGUAGAUAUUCUCAGAUUUUCAGUUGAAGUACAGUAAUUCGUUUGCAAUCUUAUCCACUAAAUUCAAAGACACCUUUUUCUGCUUGUUACAAAAUUGGCAACCAUCCUCAAUUUAAUGACACCCUUCCAUUGAUUUCAAUGGCUUUUGGAUCAGGCCCUCGCAAUGCAGGGUAUGUGGAUUAUUAUUUUUUCACAUUACCCUGAACAGUGAAGUAUGAUUACAAUGUUCUGUGAGUGCUUUAGUGAGGAAAGAGGCAUAAUAAAAUACUGAAUGUGAUUUAUUAAAGAAAAUCUUUGUCCUGUUUUAAUAGGAAUCUGAGGUUUUAUACCUAAAGCACAUAAAACUAUUCAGGUGUUAAGGCUGGAAGAACUCCUGACCCACAGUCACAGAAAUGUAGGACUUUGGCUGUCAAUGAAAUGUACUGAUAACCAGAUGAAAGGAUCUGACCUUUUUUCCAGAUGACUGUUAGUUCAUAUGCAUUAGACAAGCACCCAUAUACUGAGUGAUCCUGAUCAGGGAUUCAUCUGCUACCUUGAAUCAUACUACUGCU
This is a long non-coding RNA of Tyto alba (common barn owl), 2339 nucleotides long. RefSeq lists it as uncharacterized. Lineage: Eukaryota; Metazoa; Chordata; Aves; Strigiformes; Tytonidae. The record is from RefSeq and is a predicted model, not a curated record. The transcript has 4 exons.